This 249-nucleotide unclassified non-coding RNA is filed under the name plant metagenome. Its description in RNAcentral is "partial contains small subunit ribosomal RNA, internal transcribed spacer 1, and 5.8S ribosomal RNA". The stretch from base 201 to 249 matches the Rfam family "5.8S ribosomal RNA", at positions 1 to 49 of the family's 154-position model. The record is from RNAcentral.
UCUCCGUAGGUGAACCUGCGGAGGGAUCAUUACAGAGUUCAUGCCCUACCGGGUAGAUCUCCCACCCUAUGUUAUUAUUACUUUGUUGCUUUGGCGGGCCGUUAGGCUCCGGCCCGACUACCGGCCCCGGCUGGUAAGCGCCCGCCAGAGGACCCAAAACCCUGAAUAUUAGUGUCGUCUGAGUACUAUAUAAUAGUUAAAACUUUCAACAACGGAUCUCUUGGUUCUGGCAUCGAUGAAGUACGCAGC